UAAAUAUCUAAAUUAAGUAUGUCAUUUACAAUGAUAAGAUGUUUUAAAAAUAAACUUUAUUUAAUUUAAUUUAUUAAUAUAAAAUAUUUUUUU
RNAcentral lists this transfer RNA (93 nucleotides) under Greenidea nipponica. RNAcentral's name for it is "tRNA-Val". Lineage: Eukaryota; Metazoa; Arthropoda; Insecta; Hemiptera; Aphididae. The record is from RNAcentral.